Long non-coding RNA from Fundulus heteroclitus (mummichog), 517 nucleotides. RefSeq lists it as uncharacterized. The transcript has 4 exons. Lineage: Eukaryota; Metazoa; Chordata; Actinopteri; Cyprinodontiformes; Fundulidae. The record is from RefSeq and is a predicted model, not a curated record.
GGUGUUUCUUCAGACCUUCUUGUUGUUACUCAGAGUCCUGAUGUUUCUUUCCAAGAAGGAGAGACAGGAAACAUCUCCUGCUGCUGGAAGGGAGAGGCAGAAAGAGGUUAUUGUGGAGAUACCAGUGUUAGCUCUAAUUGAAGGAAACGGUACGACCAUCAGAGUUACAGCGGCAGAGACCCCAGCUGUCACCACAGAUCAUCACGGGAAUCCAGAUGUUCCUCAACAAGAUGUUCUCACCAUGGUUCUGAGAUGCCUGCCCAUCCUGGUCUUCAUCGCAGCUUUCUUUUGACUAUACUGGUUUGGGACUAAAGCCCAGAGAGACACUACAGUUUCAGCUGCAUCUGAAAAUGAAGCCAAUUCAUCGCAAAGCAGAGAUGAACAGCAGGACACAAAGGAAGAACAUGAUGGAAUGAGAGAAGCAGCAGGAGAAUGAUGGAGAGACAAUGGGGUUGGAAAGGAUGCAGAGUAUGGUGCUCUGAUCCUGCAAUAUUAGUUUAUUUCAUAUACAACCUAU